RNAcentral lists this ribosomal RNA (660 nucleotides) under uncultured euryarchaeote. RNAcentral describes it as "partial 16S ribosomal RNA". It matches the Rfam family "Archaeal small subunit ribosomal RNA", at positions 342 to 1478 of the family's 1478-position model. Lineage: Archaea; Methanobacteriati; Methanobacteriota. The record is from RNAcentral.
UAAAAACUCCUACGUCGCUAUCGCAGGAAAAACCGGACACAGGGGGUCCCAAGUGCUCAUGUAAGGAAAGAAAAAGCCGUGGGUCUAAGUAAAAGAGAAAAAGGGGGGGGCUAGACCGGGGCCAGCCGCGGCGGUUUACCGGCAGCUCAAGUGGUAGCCGCGACAACUGGGCCUAAAGCGUUCGUAGCCGGAUAAGUAAGUCUUUGGUUAAAUCCUGCAAUUUACCUGUGGGAAAUCUGGGGGAACUGCUUGUCUUGAGACGGGGGGAGGUUAAAGGUAUUCCUAGGGAGGGGGGGAAAUCUGGUAAUCCUAGGGGACCCCCCUGUGGGGAGGGCGUCUAAUUGGAAGGGGUCUGCCGGUGGGGGAGAAACCUUAGGGAACCCGCCGGAAUAAAAUACCCGGGAGGCCUUAGGCUUAAAUAAAUGGGGGUUCGGGGUGGGGGCAUCUACAAAAUGCCCCGGGGCGGAAGGGUACCGGUUAAACUCGCCGCCUGGGAAGUAGGGCGGCAGGGAUGAAACUAAAGGAAAUUGCCGGGGGAAAGGCCCAUUUCGUUUAAACUUGCAGAAUUAGACCCUUUAGGGAGGGUAAUUUCUAACCUUGGGGAAUCCUGGGCAUAGUUUUUUCCGGAACGCAAGUUUUUUCCCCCCUUCCCCCCCCCCG